UUUAGAGCAGCAAGAUGAGUUGCAGGAAGCACUGGCAGAUCCUCAUGGUUUAGCCUGGCAGGUGCUGAAUGCAGCAUGGGAUGCAUGCAUUGUGGUUGCAAGCGAGAAUGCUUUUCAUUGCCAUGUAGAGUAGGCUAUAACAAGAUACUAGACACUGUGAAGCCGGUAAAUGAUCCAGAAGGGAAACAUUUCUCAUCCUUU
This is a long non-coding RNA of Hibiscus syriacus, 201 nucleotides long. RefSeq lists it as uncharacterized. The transcript has 4 exons. The record is from RefSeq and is a predicted model, not a curated record. NCBI's taxonomy places the organism in Eukaryota, Viridiplantae, Streptophyta, Magnoliopsida, Malvales, Malvaceae.